UGCUUUCUCGUGAUCACGUUUCC
RNAcentral lists this unclassified non-coding RNA (23 nucleotides) under Mus musculus (house mouse). Its description in RNAcentral is "oocyte_clustered_small_RNA1025". The record is from RNAcentral. Lineage: Eukaryota; Metazoa; Chordata; Mammalia; Rodentia; Muridae.